RNAcentral lists this ribosomal RNA (441 nucleotides) under Fusarium oxysporum. RNAcentral describes it as "eukaryotic LSU rRNA". The stretch from base 96 to 248 matches the Rfam family "5.8S ribosomal RNA". Lineage: Eukaryota; Fungi; Ascomycota; Sordariomycetes; Hypocreales; Nectriaceae. The record is from RNAcentral.
AUCAGCCCGCUCCCGGUAAAACGGGACGGCCCGCCAGAGGACCCCUAAACUCUGUUUCUAUAUGUAACUUCUGAGUAAAACCAUAAAUAAAUCAAAACUUUCAACAACGGAUCUCUUGGUUCUGGCAUCGAUGAAGAACGCAGCAAAAUGCGAUAAGUAAUGUGAAUUGCAGAAUUCAGUGAAUCAUCGAAUCUUUGAACGCACAUUGCGCCCGCCAGUAUUCUGGCGGCAUGCCUGUUCGAGCGUCAUUUCAACCCUCAAGCACAGCUUGGUGUUGGGACUCGCGUUAAUUCGCGUUCCCCAAAUUGAUUGGCGGUCACGUCGAGCUUCCAUAGCGUAGUAGUAAAACCCUCGUUACUGGUAAUCGUCGCGGCCACGCCGUUAAACCCCAACUUCUGAAUGUUGACCUCGGAUCAGGUAGGAAUACCCGCUGAACUUAAG